UACGAAGGGGCUAGCGUUACUCGGAAUUACUGGGCGUAAAGGGCGCGUAGGCGGCGCUCCAAGUUAGGCGUGAAAGUCCUGGGCUCAACCUGGGAACUGCGCUUAAGACUGGAGUGCUUGAGGAUGGAAGAGGGUCGUGGAAUUCCCAGUGUAGAGGUGAAAUUCGUAGAUAUUGGGAAGAAACACCGGGUGGCGAAGGCGGCGACCUGGUCCAUUACUGACGCUG
This 226-nucleotide ribosomal RNA is filed under the name uncultured bacterium. RNAcentral describes it as "partial 16S ribosomal RNA". It matches the Rfam family "Bacterial small subunit ribosomal RNA", at positions 524 to 748 of the family's 1533-position model. The record is from RNAcentral.